CGACCUACCACAAUCGCUAGGAGGUCCUCGACUAGGAGCUCCUCUCAGGAUGAGGCCCUUUCAUUGCACUUCGACUGGGUUGACUCCUGCGAUUACCCCUAAUGUGGGUAACUCGAGCGUAUAAUUUCUGGUAGUGGGGACCUGCGUUCGCGCUCGUCCCCU
Molecule: small nuclear RNA, 162 nt
Filed under: Paramuricea clavata
Lineage: Eukaryota; Metazoa; Cnidaria; Anthozoa; Malacalcyonacea; Plexauridae
Description: U1 spliceosomal RNA
Rfam family: U1 spliceosomal RNA
About the family: U1 is a small nuclear RNA (snRNA) component of the spliceosome (involved in pre-mRNA splicing). Its 5' end forms complementary base pairs with the 5' splice junction, thus defining the 5' donor site of an intron.
Source: Rfam by way of RNAcentral